This 404-nucleotide ribosomal RNA is filed under the name Fusobacteriota bacterium. RNAcentral describes it as "Fusobacteria bacterium partial 16S ribosomal RNA". It matches the Rfam family "Bacterial small subunit ribosomal RNA", at positions 355 to 776 of the family's 1533-position model. The record is from RNAcentral. Lineage: Bacteria; Fusobacteriati; Fusobacteriota.
UGGGGAAUAUUGCACAAUGGAGGGAACUCUGAUGCAGCGACGCCGCGUGAGUGAUGAAGGAAUUCGUUUCGUAAAACUCUGUUCUAUGGGAAGAAAAGGACUGUACCAUAGGAGAAAGCUCCGGCUAAAUACGUGCCAGCAGCCGCGGUAAUACGUAUGGAGCGAGCGUUGUCCGGAAUUAUUGGGCGUAAAGGGUGCGCAGGCGGCUUUACAAGUUGGAUGUGAAAUAUUGUGGCUCAACCACAAACGUGCAUCCAAAACUGCAAAGCUAGAGUUAAGGAGAGGUAAGUCGAAUUCCUGGUGGAGCAGUGGAAUGCGUAAACAUCAGGAGGAAUACCGGUGGCGAAGGCGACUAACUAGACAUAAACUGACGCUCAGGCACGAAAGAAUGGGGAGCAAACAGG